Molecule: ribosomal RNA, 253 nt
Filed under: uncultured bacterium
Lineage: Bacteria
Description: partial 16S ribosomal RNA
Rfam family: Bacterial small subunit ribosomal RNA
Source: RNAcentral
UACGUAGGCAGCGAGCGUUGUUCGGAAUUACUGGGCGUAAAGAGUGUGUAGGCGGUGUUCCCAGUCUGUUGUGAAAUCUCCCGGCUUAACUGGGAGGGUGCAGCGGAAACUAGAAUGCUAGAGGGUGGGAGAGGUAAGCGGAAUUCCUGGUGUAGCGGUGAAAUGCGUAGAUAUCGGGAGGAACACCUGUGGCGAAAGCGGCGCACUGGACCACUUCUGACGCUGAGGCGCGAAAGCUAGGGGAGCAAACAGG